Molecule: long non-coding RNA, 3209 nt
Organism: Ctenopharyngodon idella (grass carp)
Lineage: Eukaryota; Metazoa; Chordata; Actinopteri; Cypriniformes; Xenocyprididae
Exons: 3
Source: RefSeq, a predicted model, not a curated record
UCCAAAAAUUGUAAAGUUGGUUGCUUGGCCAUUUUUAAUUUUCUUUUCUUUUUUUCUUAACAUAGCACAUACCGAAGAGUACCGAAGUGGUGACUACGGUGACUCAACCACGAUACAGACCAAAACGUGAGUAAUUUGAACCAUUACACCCCUUUUACAUAAAUAUUUUGCACCUUGUUUUUUUUCUUACACCAUGUCUACACCAGACCGCAGCAUUUCAAAUGUGUCAGAUAGCAAAAGUACUGUUAGGCUUAAUUUUUUUUUAUUUAUUUUUUUUUCCCUUUAUAUCAGGCAUGUCCUGUGCUUUAUUCUCAUUUAUGCAUGUUUUUUUAUCGCUCUAACAUGUCAGUAACUUUAAGUAGCUUUGCGCGGCAUGGAUAUAUUAACAUACCACUAUAAAUGACAUAGCAAAAUCUUUGUUGGUAGAGACUUUAUAUUGUCACCACAAUAUAUUAUCAUACCGCCAAAACCUAAAAUAACAUAUGUGUGUCAGUCUCAAUCAGGGGCCAGUGACCACCAGAGGGUCUAAGCAAACUUCAAAUGGGGACCAUUGGACCACUUGAGAUGGAUUAACUCAAAUAUGACCAAUAAUAUUGUAAAGCAGAUUUUGAGCUGAUCUCCUUCAUUCUGCUGCUAGCUCACCACAACCACUGGGGUGUACCAGCUAUGGAAAGUGCAGGCCAAAUCUUGGGUGUCCACCUUCCACCACCAAACUUCUUCCCAUAUGUAGACAAGGUAUCCGCGAUCCUGAAUGGUGACAAGCAUUGGAGCUGUAGUGCUCGGGGGUGAACGACAUCAGGCUGCGGCAGACAGAGGUUCUGAAGAGGGACUUCAGGAGCCUGAUUGCGACAGUAUGCAGCACAUCGUCUGCAACGAGGAUCAUCGUGUCCGGAAAGCUUCCGACAUACUGACGAGGACAUGAAAGCUUUGGAGAUGGUUCAACCUAGAUGCACAGAUCUACCGCUAGCCCAGCUUCAUUCCCACAUCUGGCACCAAAGAUUCAUUAAGUGCAGUCCAUAACCAGUGUCUGCCAUGCACGGUCUGUUCCUUGUCCAUUGCAAAUGUUAUGGAUUGUUAUAUUAGAGCUCAUUAUAAUCUUUAUUUGAGACUGGUGUUAUGUAGACCCCCCCCCACUUUUCCUACAUUAAAGUGUCUUCUUUUUUUUUUUUUUUUUUUUUUAUUGAAAGAUUGUUUUAAUGUUCAAUCAACUUUGGGACAUAAUCAACUCUGGGAAGUUAGUAUAAUUAAUUCUGUAAGGCACUAUGAAUCAAAUGAACCUUUGUGUAGCGUGUUUCCUCCAAAGGCUUCUUCCUCAUUCCUCCUCAAACAUCAACAAGGGUCUUCUUUGCUAUUGUCACCUUUUGGCUUGCUCAUUGGAGUUUGUAAGCAUCAUUAUUUAGAACAAAAUAUGAAUAUGAAAAUUGGUAGGUGUUACACUAUUUCAGUGCAUGAAUUAAAGAACCACCUGACACAAAGCCAUGGAUCACCCCUUAUACAGAGCAUGGUAGGCUAAGAAAGGUCUAAUUUAUGCUUUCUGCAUAACGCAAUUAUGUGAACCACACCUAAUAAGCAGGUAGAAUUACAGUUCGUUUGAAACUAGCUUUACCUCAACUUGGCUGGCAAUUUUUUGCAUGUACUUUUUGUCUGAGGGAUCAAGCAAAAAAAGGGUUAGAUGAACAAACUACAGGCUGUGUACAUUAUGGGUUCCAGAAAGUGUUCAUGUGAGCUUGUAUUUUUAUUAGUAUUUUAAUUUAUAUAUACUGAUUUGUAACCAGAUUAUGAUGAAGUCACCCUUUGCAAAUCAUUUAAAGCAUUUUAAAAACUUAAAUCCAUGAAUGCAGUGCCUUUUUGAUUAUUCUAAACCGAAAGCAAAAAAUCUAUUAAAGUUUAAGUGCAAUAUGUAAAACUAAAUGUAUCAGUGAAACUUAAUGUAGAAUCUCCAAAAUAGGCAUAACUAUUUUUGUUGUUGUUUUUACACGUUAUGUAGGCUACUUGUUGGGGAAAAAUGCAACAAUAUGAAUUUGAGGCUUGUCAAAUUGUAUGCAGAUCAAUGAAUUUCCGUGUCAACACUGGAUGCGGUCUCAAUGUAAUUGUAAUGUUAUAUUAUUGUAAAAACGUAUGUCAAAUGAACAAAUGAAGUGGUAAACCUUGACAAAAUGUGAUUUGUAAUGAUAUUAUAAGGAUUUAUAUAGUUUAAAAGGGAUAUUAAAUGACAAAACUUUGAAAAAAAACUUGAAAUCUUCAACUAUAUUAGUGGCCUUCUACUGCCAUCUGGUGGCAAAUGACAAAUUCAGGAAAUUGCCAUUACAAACAUAAGAACAUUGUCAUUCAACACAUUUUUAGAGGUAGCUAUGUCCCGAUCGAAAUUGCUUGUUUAGAGUCAUGUCACACGUGCUUGCUUAUUUUCAGAAAGAUAUCUUUCUAUAAUGUCUUAUGAGCAUAAUUUUCUAUAAUGCUCAGAUAUCUGAGCAUUCUUUGAAGAGAUAUAGGCUUUCAGGGACACUUGGUCAAGGCUACAUUUUGAAAUGACCCUUUUAUAUCUGCUAAUGGAAAAGUUCAACUUUUUUUUGAUCAUUAUUAAACAACAGAGUCCAGAGAAUUGUACUGCAUUGGUUUUAUUCAGAUUGAGCAAAAAACCUAUGACUAGUAUGCAAAAGUAGGUUUUUCAAGAAAAUAUUCUUGAAUGAACGAUUUGAUUGACAAAAUAAAUGAUGGGUAAAGAAAUGUUUACUGCAAGUUUCUUUAAAGUUUCACAUUACACAAUGUGGCACAAUUGUCAUUAAUACUUCAACAAAAUUUAAGUGAUGAAUUUUGACAAAAUGUGAUUGUAAUGAUUUUAUCAAGUCUAAAUAUGCAUUAUAGAACAAUAUUAGUGAGUAGUAUGACAAAAUGACUACUUUAACCAGUAGGUGGCAGCAAAGGACCAGUCAUUGGCUCACUUUCAUUUUAAAAAUGGUCUGUUUUUGGUUUUGUACAUUUUCCAUGUUAACUCCAUUAAACAUGAUUACACACACACAACUUUUGUUGUAGAUAUUUGAAAUACAUGAUAGGUAAGAAAAUGCUUAGUGCAAGUCUGGUCUUUCUAACACUAGAAGAAUGAAUGAUGAAUGGGAAUUUGGUUUUUCGCUUAUAUCUCGGGAACAGGACGUCGAAAAAUUCUGAAACUCGGAGGGUAAAUAGUGCUCCACGGACCCUGUUGAACGAGACCA